This 253-nucleotide ribosomal RNA is filed under the name uncultured bacterium. RNAcentral's name for it is "partial 16S ribosomal RNA". It matches the Rfam family "Bacterial small subunit ribosomal RNA", at positions 524 to 776 of the family's 1533-position model. The record is from RNAcentral.
UACGGAGGGUGCGAGCGUUAAUCGGAAUUACUGGGCGUCAAGGGCGCGUAGGCGGUGGGUUACGUCUGCCGUGAAAUCCCCGGGCUCAACCUUGGAAUGGCGGUGGGAACGGGCUGACUGGAGUAUGGGAGAGGGUGAUGGAAUUCCAGGCGUAGAGGUGAAAUGGGUAGAGAACUGGAGGAACACCAGGGGCGAAGGCGGUCACCUGGCCCAAUACUUACGCUGAGGCGCGAAAGCGUGAGGAGCAAUCAGG